GCUGGGCGUGGUGACACACGCCUGUAAUCCCAGCUACUCAGGAGGCUGAGGUGGGAGAAUCACUUGAACCCAGGAAGCGGAGUUUGCAGUGAGCUGAGUUUUCGCCACUGCACUCCAGCCUGAGUGACAGAGUGAGACUCCAUCUCAA
Molecule: unclassified non-coding RNA, 148 nt
Organism: Pongo abelii (Sumatran orangutan)
Lineage: Eukaryota; Metazoa; Chordata; Mammalia; Primates; Hominidae
Rfam family: Metazoan signal recognition particle RNA
About the family: The signal recognition particle (SRP) is a universally conserved ribonucleoprotein. It is involved in the co-translational targeting of proteins to membranes.
Source: Ensembl